CCAGACUCCUACGGGAGGCAGCAGUGAGGAAUAUUGGUCAAUGGCCGGAAGGCUGAACCAGCCAUGCCGCGUGAAGGUCAGUGCCCUAUGGGCGUUAAACUUCUUUUGUGCGGGAGCAAUAAUGGUCACGUGUGGCCAGACGAGAGUACCGUACGAAUAAGCAUCGGCUAACUCCGUGCCAGCAGCCGCGGUAAUACGGAGGAUGCGAGCGUUAUCCGGAUUUAUUGGGUUUAAAGGGUGCGUAGGCGGAGUGUCAAGUCAGCGGUAAAAGUUCGGGGCUCAACCCCGUCGUGCCGUUGAAACUGACGCCCUUGAGUGAGUGAGAAGUAAGCGGAAUGCGUGGUGUAGCGGUGAAAUGCAUAGAUAUCACGCAGAACUCCGAUUGCGAAGGCAGCAUACCGGCGCCCAACUGACGCUCAGGCACGAAAGCGUGGGGAUCGAACAGGAUUAGAUACCCUAGUAUGA
This 465-nucleotide ribosomal RNA is filed under the name uncultured bacterium. RNAcentral describes it as "bacterial SSU rRNA". It matches the Rfam family "Bacterial small subunit ribosomal RNA", at positions 331 to 794 of the family's 1533-position model. The record is from RNAcentral.